UAUACUCCUGAAUGUCAUCUUGUUGUGAUUUUUUUUUUCUGUAGAUUCCAGAGACUCUGUGAGGCCACUAUUACAAGGUGAGACGCUUUGCGUUGAUUGGUGCUGCUGGACCACACUGGAGGUGCGAGUCCGCCGUGUAAUGGUUUAUGCCAUUACAAAGGAGCUGGCCUCUGUACUCAACUGGACAGGGGAAAAAAAAACAAGGACCAGACAAAGCAAAAAAGGGCAUUUAAAGAGACAGCGCUGUGCAGAUGCAUAUUUGAUGGCCUGGCGCAGCAGGUAGGGGCGAACUCUAUGUCUGAGUUGGUCUUUGCUCAAGCAGUCCAGAAAUGGCUCAGAUAUGCUCCAGAUCGUACGGGUGGCGCAGGAAGCACAUCAUCCAUCCCCAUCCCGGAGUAAAUAAUAAAAAGUGACGUGAAACAUAGAAAUGUAAAUAGGAAACUUUGUCUUUUAAUAAAGUAUUUUGCAAAUGA
Long non-coding RNA from Pelmatolapia mariae (spotted tilapia), 473 nucleotides. RefSeq lists it as uncharacterized. The transcript is spliced from 3 exons. Lineage: Eukaryota; Metazoa; Chordata; Actinopteri; Cichliformes; Cichlidae. The record is from RefSeq and is a predicted model, not a curated record.